Molecule: ribosomal RNA, 254 nt
Filed under: uncultured prokaryote
Description: partial 16S ribosomal RNA
Rfam family: Bacterial small subunit ribosomal RNA
Source: RNAcentral
UACGGAGGAUGCGAGCGUUAUCCGGAUUUAUUGGGUUUAAAGGGUGCGUAGGCGGCUUAGUAAGUCAGCGGUGAAAUUUUGCAGCUUAACUGUAACAGUGCCGUUGAUACUGCCAGGCUAGGAUUUGGUUGCUGUGGGUGGAAUGUGUGGUGUAGCGGUGAAAUGCUUAGAUAUCACACAGAAUAUCGAUUGCGAAGGCAGCUCACAAAGCCAAGAUUGACGCUGAGGCACGAAAGUGUGGGGAUCAAACAGGA